Molecule: ribosomal RNA, 1371 nt
Filed under: uncultured bacterium
Lineage: Bacteria
Description: bacterial SSU rRNA
Rfam family: Bacterial small subunit ribosomal RNA
Source: RNAcentral
AGAGUUUGAUCCUGGCUCAGGAUGAACGCUGGCGGCGUGCAUAACACAUUCAAGUCGAACGGACGAGGGGCUUCGGCCCCGAGUUAGUGGCGGACGGGUGAGUAACGCGUGAGCAACCUGCCCCUGUGUGCGGGAUAACGUCCGGAAACGGACGCUAAUACCGCAUAACGCAAUCUGACCGCAUGAUCGGGUUGCCAAAGAUUUAUUGCACAGGGAUGGGCUCGCGUCCGAUUAGAUAGUUGGUGGGGUAACGGCCUACCAAGUCAACGAUCAGUAGCCGGUCUGAGAGGAUGAACGGCCACAUUGGGACUGAGAUACGGCCCAGACUCCUACGGGAGGCAGCAGUGGGGAAUAUUGGGCAAUGGGCGAAAGCCUGACCCAGCAACGCCGCGUGAAGGAAGAAGGCCUUCGGGUUGUAAACUUCUUUUACCAGGGACGAAUAAAAUGACGGUACCUGGAGAAAAAGCAACGGCUAACUACGUGCCAGCAGCCGCGGUAAUACGUAGGUUGCAAGCGUUGUCCGGAUUUACUGGGUGUAAAGGGCGUGUAGGCGGAGAUGCAAGUUGGGAGUGAAAUCCCGGGGCUCAACCCCGGAACUGCUUUCAAAACUGCAUCCCUUGAGUAUCGGAGAGGCAAGCGGAAUUCCUAGUGUAGCGGUGAAAUGCGUAGAUAUUAGGAGGAACACCAGUGGCGAAGGCGGCUUGCUGGACGACAACUGACGCUGAGGCGCGAAAGCGUGGGGAGCAAACAGGAUUAGAUACCCUGGUAGUCCACGCUGUAAACGAUGAAUACUAGGUGUGGGAGGACUGACCCCUUCCGUGCCGCAGUUAACACAAUAAGUAUUCCACCUGGGGAGUACGACCGCAAGGUCGAAACUCAAAGGAAUUGACGGGAGCCCGCACAAGCAGUGGAGUAUGUGGUUUAAUUCGAUGCAACGCGAAGAACCUUACCAGAACUUGACAUCCCAAGAACCCGGUUGUAAUGACCGGGGUGCCUUUCGGGGAACUUGGAGACAGGUGGUGCAUGGUUGUCGUCAGCUCGUGUCGUGAGAUGUUGGGUUAAGUCCCGCAACGAGCGCAACCCUUACCUUUAGUUGCUACGCAAGAGCACUCUGAAGGGACUGCCGUUGACAAAACGGAGGAAGGUGGGGAUGACGUCAAAUCAUCAUGCCCCUUACGUUCUGGGCUACACACGUACUACAAUGGCGUAAACAAAGGGAAGCGAUACCGCGAGGUGGAGCAAACCCCAUAAAAGACGCCUCAGUUCAGAUUGCAGGCUGCAACUCGCCUGCAUGAAGCUGGAAUUGCUAGUAAUCGCGGAUCAGCAUGCCGCGGUGAAUACGUUCCCGGGCUUUGCACUCACCGCCCGUCA